AUAAAAAACCAAUGCCCUUCGGGGCUCCUUGGUGAUUCAUAAUAACUUCACGAAUCGCAUGGCCUUGCGCCGGCGAUGGUUCAUUCAAAUUUCUGCCCUAUCAACUUUCGAUGGUAGGAUAGUGGCCUACCAUGGUGGCAACGGGUAACGGGGAAUUAGGGUUUGAUUCCGGAGAGGGAGCCUGAGAAACGGCUACCACAUCCAAGGAAGGCAGCAGGCGCGCAAAUUACCCAAUCCCGAUACGGGGAGGUAGUGACAAUAAAUACUGAUACAGGGCUCUUUUGGGUCUUGUAAUUGGAAUGAGAACAAUCUAAAUCCCUUAACGAGGAACAAUUGGAGGGCAAGUCUGGUGCCAGCAGCCGCGCUAAUUCCAGCUCCAAUAGCGUAUAUUAAAGUUGUUGCAGUUAAAAAGUUCGUAGUUGAAACUUGGGCCUGGCUGGCAGGUCCGCCUCACCGCGUGUACUUGUCCGGCCGGGCCUUUCCUUCUGGAGAACCUCAUGCCCUUCACUGGGUGUGU
This 517-nucleotide ribosomal RNA is filed under the name uncultured fungus. RNAcentral describes it as "SSU rRNA". It matches the Rfam family "Eukaryotic small subunit ribosomal RNA", at positions 214 to 731 of the family's 1831-position model. Lineage: Eukaryota; Fungi. The record is from RNAcentral.